UGGGGAAUUUUGGACAAUGGGCGAAAGCCUGAUCCAGCAAUGCCGCGUGUGUGAAGAAGGCCUUCGGGUUGUAAAGCACUUUUGUCCGGGAAAGAAAUCCUUGGCUCUAAUACAGUCGGGGGAUGACGGUACCGGAAGAAUAAGCACCGGCUAACUACGUGCCAGCAGCCGCGGUAAUACGUAGGGUGCAAGCGUUAAUCGGAAUUACUGGGCGUAAAGCGUGCGCAGGCGGUUUGCUAAGACCGAUGUGAAAUCCCCGGGCUCAACCUGGGAACUGCAUUGGUGACUGGCAGGCUAGAGUAUGGCAGAGGGGGGUAGAAUUCCACGUGUAGCAGUGAAAUGCGUAGAGAUGUGGAGGAAUACCGAUGGCGAAGGCAGCCCCCUGGGCCAAUACUGACGCUCAUGCACGAAAGCGUGGGGAGCAAACAGGAUUAGAUACCCUGGUAGUCCACGCCCUAAACGAUGUCAACUAGUUG
Molecule: ribosomal RNA, 476 nt
Filed under: uncultured bacterium
Lineage: Bacteria
Description: partial 16S ribosomal RNA
Rfam family: Bacterial small subunit ribosomal RNA
Source: RNAcentral